RNAcentral lists this ribosomal RNA (199 nucleotides) under uncultured bacterium. RNAcentral describes it as "partial 16S ribosomal RNA". It matches the Rfam family "Bacterial small subunit ribosomal RNA", at positions 326 to 539 of the family's 1533-position model. The record is from RNAcentral.
ACGCUCGACACCUACGGGGAGCAGCAGGUGGGGAAUAUUGCACAAUGGGGGAAACCCUGAUGCAGCGACGCCGCGUGGAGGAAGAAGGUCUUCGGAUUGUAAACUCCUGUUGUUGGGGAAAAAGAGGAUGGUACCCAACAAGGAAGUGACGGCUAACUACGUGUCAGCAGCCGCGGUAAUCUGAGCGGGCUGGCAAGGC